Molecule: long non-coding RNA, 214 nt
Filed under: Elaeis guineensis (African oil palm)
Lineage: Eukaryota; Viridiplantae; Streptophyta; Magnoliopsida; Arecales; Arecaceae
Description: long non-coding RNA (EGUI_LNC016990)
Source: RNAcentral
AUCUAGAGAUGAACAAUCAUCAAAUAAAAUGCAUCAUCAUCGAUAUUGUAUAAGACUAACUUAUUUGAUGAUCACCGAUUUAGGAUGGCAGUUGUCAAAUUCUGCACAAUAUUUUGCGGUGCAAAUUGCACCGCCACUUUCAAACAAUCUUUUUGUUCUCCCUCUUCCCCGCACGAGGCCGGUCAGUCAGUCUGCUACUUUUUGCAAACCCGAC